RNAcentral lists this unclassified non-coding RNA (944 nucleotides) under Hevea brasiliensis (rubber tree). The record is from RNAcentral. Lineage: Eukaryota; Viridiplantae; Streptophyta; Magnoliopsida; Malpighiales; Euphorbiaceae.
GAGCCAAAGGCAUAAGUUGCUGCCUCUCUCUGCCUCCAAUCUGGUUUUGUAAUAUUUUCUUCAAUAAAUGGCAUUACAAGUGGGACAAUAUCAUCUCCCACAGUUCGUGCAACCAAACCAAGACAUGUACCACCAGCCAUUGCAAUGUUCCAAGCACCUUCAUCUUGAUCUUGGUCCUCCUCUUGCUUUAGAAGCGUCUCCAACAGCAUUGGGACAAGAGCAGGAAGUGCCUGCUUAAUAAAAUAAAAGCAAGGAAUAUCAGAGUCCCCAGUGAAAUCAUCCCCAUAUUCUUCCAAUAUUUCUAUCUCCUCAUCACAAAUUGAGCUCCAAAACUCAAUUGCUUGAAGAGCCACAGGUUCCUCAUCUUCCCUCACAGCCUUUGCUGUGAUGCUAAAGAUGUCCUGGAUAUAAGGCGUUAAUUUCUCAUAAUAACUUGAUGAAAUCGAGACCAAACACUCAAAAGCAGCCUGCCGUAUCUUCACUUCUGGAGACAGAGUUGCCUCACAGACAACUCUCAUGAUAUAAUCACGCUCCAUAUCAUUGGAAAAAUUUGCUUGUGCAAAGCCUAAUGCAUUGUAUAGUGCUCGGGUGGCUGCAAGCCUAACAUCAUUGUUUCCUUCAGACGCAUUCAUACCCUGAACUACUGCUGUAAGUAUUUUAUUCACUUGGUCUUGAUCUAUAACAUCAGGAGAGACUUCCUCACAUAAAUAUCCAAGAGUCUCUAAAGUGGCUUGCUUGACAUGAGAAGGAAGCUGGUGAAUAUUUGAUAAAAGUGAUACUAUCAGCUCAGGCCAUUGUUUCUGAGGUAAUUCAAUACCUGCGAUCUUGGCAAUGACUUGAGAGGCAGUUGACCGAGCAUCAACUACAGGAGAGGAAAGAGUCUUUAACAAACAUGCCUUGAUUUGGCUUUUCACAUUGUUGUCCAGUGACAACCAUCUUUGAAC